This 391-nucleotide long non-coding RNA is filed under the name Pan troglodytes (chimpanzee). RNAcentral describes it as "long non-coding RNA NONPTRT004186". The record is from RNAcentral. Lineage: Eukaryota; Metazoa; Chordata; Mammalia; Primates; Hominidae.
GACGGGGAUGCUGGGUGCUUGCUGUGCUGGAACUGGCAUUUGCGGGCCCAGCCCCUAUGAGCUGAGGGCCUGUCUCAGGGAGCAACAGCACCACCUCGUGUGCUGCACAUCCGUUCCUUCCUGGCGAAUUCGUGAGCACCUGCUGCAUUCCUGAACUGCGCUGAGGACGCGGGCCUGAGCAGAGAUGUCCCCACCUCAGGGGCUGACAUCCCAGGGAGGAAGACGGGGAGUGAGUAAGUUGCAUGGUCCAGAUGGUCUCAGACAAACCUACGAGGAGGCCCGAGUGACGCGGACGAAUGGGUAUCUGGGUGGCGGGGAUGGUUACGGGUUGAACGGGGCCCGCCCGGAAGCUCACGUCCACCUGGAACCUCGGAAUGCGGCUUAUUUAGAA